CGAAAUGCGAUAAUUAAUGUGAAUUGCAGAAUUCAGUGAAUCAUCGAGUCUUUGAACGCACAUUGCGCCCCCUGGUAUUCCGGGGGGCAUGCCUGUCCGAGCGUCAUUGCUGCCCUCAAGCACGGCUUGUGUGUUGGGCUUCCGUCCCUGGCAACGGGGACGGGCCCAAAAGGCAGUGGCGGCACCAUGUCUGGUCCUCGAGCGUAUGGGGCUUUGUCACCCGCUCCCGUAGGUCCAGCUGGCAGCUAGCCUCGCAACCAAUCUUUUUAACCAGGUUGACCUCGGAUCAGGUAGGGAUACCCGCUGAACUUAAGC
RNAcentral lists this unclassified non-coding RNA (315 nucleotides) under plant metagenome. RNAcentral describes it as "partial contains 5.8S ribosomal RNA, internal transcribed spacer 2, and large subunit ribosomal RNA". The stretch from base 1 to 106 matches the Rfam family "5.8S ribosomal RNA", at positions 49 to 154 of the family's 154-position model. The record is from RNAcentral.